RNAcentral lists this ribosomal RNA (741 nucleotides) under Rhodococcus sp. YIM 64703. Its description in RNAcentral is "bacterial SSU rRNA". It matches the Rfam family "Bacterial small subunit ribosomal RNA", at positions 86 to 840 of the family's 1533-position model. The record is from RNAcentral. Lineage: Bacteria; Bacillati; Actinomycetota; Actinomycetes; Mycobacteriales; Nocardiaceae.
GGUACACGAGCGGCGAACGGGUGAGUAACACGUGGGUGAUCUGCCCUGCACUUCGGGAUAAGCCUGGGAAACUGGGUCUAAUACCGGAUAUGACCUCCUGUUGCAUGACUUGGGGUGGAAAGAUUUAUCGGUGCAGGAUGGGCCCGCGGCCUAUCAGCUUGUUGGUGGGGUAAUGGCCUACCAAGGCGACGACGGGUAGCCGACCUGAGAGGGUGACCGGCCACACUGGGACUGAGACACGGCCCAGACUCCUACGGGAGGCAGCAGUGGGGAAUAUUGCACAAUGGGCGAAAGCCUGAUGCAGCGACGCCGCGUGAGGGAUGACGGCCUUCGGGUUGUAAACCUCUUUCAGCAGGGACGAAGCGCAAGUGACGGUACCUGCAGAAGAAGCACCGGCUAACUACGUGCCAGCAGCCGCGGUAAUACGUAGGGUGCAAGCGUUGUCCGGAAUUACUGGGCGUAAAGAGUUCGUAGGCGGUUUGUCGCGUCGUUUGUGAAAACCAGCAGCUCAACUGCUGGCUUGCAGGCGAUACGGGCAGACUUGAGUACUGCAGGGGAGACUGGAAUUCCUGGUGUAGCGGUGAAAUGCGCAGAUAUCAGGAGGAACACCGGUGGCGAAGGCGGGUCUCUGGGCAGUAACUGACGCUGAGGAACGAAAGCGUGGGUAGCGAACAGGAUUAGAUACCCUGGUAGUCCACGCCGUAAACGGUGGGCGCUAGGUGUGGGUUCCUUCCACGGAAU